Molecule: ribosomal RNA, 230 nt
Filed under: Chilopoda environmental sample
Lineage: Eukaryota; Metazoa; Arthropoda; Chilopoda
Description: partial small subunit ribosomal RNA
Rfam family: Eukaryotic small subunit ribosomal RNA
Source: RNAcentral
AGCUCCAAUAGCGUAUAUUAAAGUUGUUGCGGUUAAAAAGCUCGUAGUUGGAUCUAGGUGAUGGGCUGGCAGUCCACCUUUUGCGGAUCCACUGCCGGUCCCGAAGCCAUCCAUCCGGCCGGUCCUCGGUGCUCUUUGCUGAGUGCCUUGGGUGACUGGCUUGGUUACUUGGAACAAAUUCGAGUGCAUAGUCCAGCUUGGAAUAAUGGAAUAGAACCUCGGUUCUAUUU